Molecule: ribosomal RNA, 253 nt
Filed under: uncultured bacterium
Lineage: Bacteria
Description: partial 16S ribosomal RNA
Rfam family: Bacterial small subunit ribosomal RNA
Source: RNAcentral
UACGUAGGUGGCAAGCGUUGUCCGGAUUUACUGGGCGUAAAGAGCGCGCAGGCGGUCGUUCAAGUCGCGUGUGAAAGCCCCCGGCUCAACUGGGGAGGGUCACGCGAUACUGAUCGACUCGAAGGCAGGAGAGGGUAGUGGAAUUCCCGGUGUAGUGGUGAAAUGCGUAGAUAUCGGGAGGAACACCAGUGGCGAAGGCGACUACCUGGCCUGUACUUGACGCUGAGGCGCGAAAGCUAGGGGAGCAAACGGG